This 157-nucleotide small RNA is filed under the name Desertifilum tharense IPPAS B-1220. Its description in RNAcentral is "Desertifilum sp. IPPAS B-1220 c-di-AMP riboswitch aptamer (ydaO/yuaA leader)". It matches the Rfam family "c-di-AMP riboswitch aptamer (ydaO/yuaA leader)". From Rfam's summary of the family: This family represents a conserved RNA structure found upstream of the ydaO and yuaA genes in Bacillus subtilis and related genes in other bacteria. The ydaO/yuaA element is thought to act as a genetic "off" switch for the ydaO and yuaA genes in its native state. It is believed that the element may be triggered during osmotic shock leading to activation of ydaO, a predicted amino acid transporter gene, and members of the yuaA-yubG operon which code for KtrA and KtrB K+ transporters. RNAcentral also lists the same sequence under 1 other name. Lineage: Bacteria; Bacillati; Cyanobacteriota; Cyanophyceae; Desertifilales; Desertifilaceae. The record is from Rfam by way of RNAcentral.
AACGUGCGAUCGCGCAGUUUAAAGGAAGAGCGGAGGAACCAAGUGUCCUAAACGGGGCGUAUCUCAAAUCCAAUUAAGGAGUCGAUCCUUAAGGAGAGAGGGGGAUCUUCCAACCCUAGCCCGUCAGCUAACUUCGUAGGCAAUGGAAGAAGAUUGA